The sequence is a ribosomal RNA, 600 nucleotides long. It matches the Rfam family "Bacterial small subunit ribosomal RNA", at positions 37 to 636 of the family's 1533-position model.
CGGCGGCAGCCUACACAUGCAAGUCGAGCGGUAACAGGGGUAGCUUGCUACCCGCUGACGAGCGGCGGACGGGUGAGUAAUGCAUAGGAAUCUACCCGGUAGUGGGGGAUAACCUGGGGAAACCCAGGCUAAUACCGCAUACGUCCUACGGGAGAAAGGGGGCUUCGGCUCCCGCUAUCGGAUGAGCCUAUGCCGGAUUAGCUGGUUGGUGAGGUAAUGGCUCACCAAGGCGACGAUCCGUAGCUGGUCUGAGAGGAUGAUCAGCCACAUCGGGACUGAGACACGGCCCGAACUCCUACGGGAGGCAGCAGUGGGGAAUAUUGGACAAUGGGCGCAAGCCUGAUCCAGCCAUGCCGCGUGUGUGAAGAAGGCCUUCGGGUUGUAAAGCACUUUCAGCGAGGAAGAACGCCUGGCGGUUAAUACCCGCCAGGAAAGACAUCACUCGCAGAAGAAGCACCGGCUAACUCCGUGCCAGCAGCCGCGGUAAUACGGAGGGUGCAAGCGUUAAUCGGAAUUACUGGGCGUAAAGCGCGCGUAGGUGGCUUGAUAAGCCGGUUGUGAAAGCCCCGGGCUCAACCUGGGAACGGCAUCCGGAACUGU